This 1445-nucleotide ribosomal RNA is filed under the name Lactiplantibacillus plantarum. RNAcentral's name for it is "bacterial SSU rRNA". It matches the Rfam family "Bacterial small subunit ribosomal RNA". Lineage: Bacteria; Bacillati; Bacillota; Bacilli; Lactobacillales; Lactobacillaceae. The record is from RNAcentral.
GUAUGAGGUACCCAUCGACCUCUGGUAGUGAUUGGUGCUUGCAUCAUGACUUACAUUUGAGUGAGUGGCGAACUGGUGAGUAACACGUGGGAAACCUGCCCAGAAGCGGGGGAUAACACCUGGAAACAGAUGCUAAUACCGCAUAACAACUUGGACCGCAUGGUCCGAGUUUGAAAGAUGGCUUCGGCUAUCACUUUUGGAUGGUCCCGCGGCGUAUUAGCUAGAUGGUGGGGUAACGGCUCACCAUGGCAAUGAUACGUAGCCGACCUGAGAGGGUAAUCGGCCACAUUGGGACUGAGACACGGCCCAAACUCCUACGGGAGGCAGCAGUAGGGAAUCUUCCACAAUGGACGAAAGUCUGAUGGAGCAACGCCGCGUGAGUGAAGAAGGGUUUCGGCUCGUAAAACUCUGUUGUUAAAGAAGAACAUAUCUGAGAGUAACUGUUCAGGUAUUGACGGUAUUUAACCAGAAAGCCACGGCUAACUACGUGCCAGCAGCCGCGGUAAUACGUAGGUGGCAAGCGUUGUCCGGAUUUAUUGGGCGUAAAGCGAGCGCAGGCGGUUUUUUAAGUCUGAUGUGAAAGCCUUCGGCUCAACCGAAGAAGUGCAUCGGAAACUGGGAAACUUGAGUGCAGAAGAGGACAGUGGAACUCCAUGUGUAGCGGUGAAAUGCGUAGAUAUAUGGAAGAACACCAGUGGCGAAGGCGGCUGUCUGGUCUGUAACUGACGCUGAGGCUCGAAAGUAUGGGUAGCAAACAGGAUUAGAUACCCUGGUAGUCCAUACCGUAAACGAUGAAUGCUAAGUGUUGGAGGGUUUCCGCCCUUCAGUGCUGCAGCUAACGCAUUAAGCAUUCCGCCUGGGGAGUACGGCCGCAAGGCUGAAACUCAAAGGAAUUGACGGGGGCCCGCACAAGCGGUGGAGCAUGUGGUUUAAUUCGAAGCUACGCGAAGAACCUUACCAGGUCUUGACAUACUAUGCAAAUCUAAGAGAUUAGACGUUCCCUUCGGGGACAUGGAUACAGGUGGUGCAUGGUUGUCGUCAGCUCGUGUCGUGAGAUGUUGGGUUAAGUCCCGCAACGAGCGCAACCCUUAUUAUCAGUUGCCAGCAUUAAGUUGGGCACUCUGGUGAGACUGCCGGUGACAAACCGGAGGAAGGUGGGGAUGACGUCAAAUCAUCAUGCCCCUUAUGACCUGGGCUACACACGUGCUACAAUGGAUGGUACAACGAGUUGCGAACUCGCGAGAGUAAGCUAAUCUCUUAAAGCCAUUCUCAGUUCGGAUUGUAGGCUGCAACUCGCCUACAUGAAGUCGGAAUCGCUAGUAAUCGCGGAUCAGCAUGCCGCGGUGAAUACGUUCCCGGGCCUUGUACACACCGCCCGUCACACCAUGAGAGUUUGUAACACCCAAAGUGCGGUGGGGUACACUCUACAGAGGUACCAACCUACG